UCUGGUGACAAUGGCAAAGAGGUCACACCUGUUCCCAUGCCGAACACAGAAGUUAAGCUCUUUAGCGCCGAUGGUAGUCGGACUUACGUUC
RNAcentral lists this ribosomal RNA (91 nucleotides) under Staphylococcus xylosus. Lineage: Bacteria; Bacillati; Bacillota; Bacilli; Caryophanales; Staphylococcaceae. The record is from RNAcentral.